Non-coding RNA from Styela clava, 207 nucleotides. Lineage: Eukaryota; Metazoa; Chordata; Ascidiacea; Stolidobranchia; Styelidae. The record is from RefSeq and is a predicted model, not a curated record.
CCGGAUGCUGUUGGUGAAUGGCUUCUACAUUGCCAUGUUAACACUCACGUAGAUAUUGGAAUGGUUACAACAUACACUGUUCAAGACCAGACAGAUUAUUCGCCAAAAGAAGAAUUCGUGCAUUCGGAAUUCUUUGCACGAUUUGACAAAAAGAUAACCCUGAGUGAGGCAAAAAAGUUUGAAUUUCCAAAACAAGAGGCAUUUGUG